UCGAUUUCCUGAGUAGCGGCGAGCGAAACGGAAAGAGCCCAAACCAAGAAGCUUGCUUCUUGGGGUUGUAGGACACUCUAUACGGAGUUACAAAAGAAAGUUAUAAAUGAAGCGGUCUGGAAAGGCCCGCCAAAGACGGUAACAGCCCGGUAGUUGAAAUGGCUUUCCCUCCAGAGUGGAUCCUGAGUACGGCGGAACACGUGAAAUUCCGUCGGAAUCCGGGAGGACCAUCUCCCAAGGCUAAAUACUCCCUAGUGACCGAUAGUGAACCAGUACCGUGAGGGAAAGGUGAAAAGCACCCCGGAAGGGGAGUGAAACAGUUCCUGAAACCGUGUGCCUACAAGUAGUUAGAGCCCGUUAAUGGGUGAUAGCGUGCCUUUUGUAGAAUGAACCGGCGAGUUACGAUUUGUUGCAAGGUUAAGCGGAAAAAGCGGAGCCGUAGCGAAAGCGAGUCUGAAUAGGGCGCAUAAGUAACAGGUCGUAGACCCGAAACCAGGUGAUCUACCCAUGUCCAGGAUGAAGGUAAGGUAAUACUUACUGGAGGUCCGAACCCACGCACGUUGAAAAGUGCGGGGAUGAGGUGUGGGUAGCGGAGAAAUUCCAAUCGAACUUGGAGAUAGCUGGUUCUCUCCGAAAUAGCUUUAGGGCUAGCCUCGAGGUAAAGAGUCAUGGAGGUAGAGCACUGUUUGGACUAGGGGCCCUUCUCGGGUUACCGAAUUCAGAUAAACUCCGAAUGCCAUGUACUUAUACUCGGGAGUCAGACUGCGAGUGAUAAGAUCCGUAGUCGAAAGGGAAACAGCCCAGACCACCAGUUAAGGUCCCCAAAUAUAUGUUAAGUGGAAAAGGAUGUGGGGUUGCUUAGACAACCAGGAUGUUGGCUUAGAAGCAGCCACCAUUGAAAGAGUGCGUAAUAGCUCACUGGUCGAGUGACCCCGCGCCGAAAAUGUACCGGGGCUAAACAUAUUACCGAAACUGUGGAUGAACCUCUUUAGAGGUUCGUGGUAGGAGAGCGUUCUAAGGGCGGUGAAGUCAGACCGGAAGGACUGGUGGAGCGCUUAGAAGUGAGAAUGCCGGUAUGAGUAGCGAAAGAAGGGUGAGAAUCCCUUCCACCGAAUAUCUAAGGUUUCCUGAGGAAGGCUCGUCCGCUC
This 1148-nucleotide ribosomal RNA is filed under the name Listeria monocytogenes. RNAcentral describes it as "partial 23S ribosomal RNA". It matches the Rfam family "Bacterial large subunit ribosomal RNA", at positions 231 to 1375 of the family's 2925-position model. Lineage: Bacteria; Bacillati; Bacillota; Bacilli; Caryophanales; Listeriaceae. The record is from RNAcentral.